Solanum pennellii is the source of this 313-nucleotide long non-coding RNA. RefSeq lists it as uncharacterized. The record is from RefSeq and is a predicted model, not a curated record. The transcript has 3 exons. Lineage: Eukaryota; Viridiplantae; Streptophyta; Magnoliopsida; Solanales; Solanaceae.
CAAACACAUUAUAACAAAAAAGGAAGGCAUAAUACAUAGAUUUGCCCUUAAACUUGGCUUCAAAUUUUAAGUAUGACCUCAAACUUUCACAGUGCACAAAUAGGCACUUUAACUAUCCUAUUUUUUUAUAAAUACACACGUGAUUUUUGGACCCAAAGAGCGUGAAAUACAAUCGCGCCCACGUGUAUUAGUGAGCCACUCAAUAACUGCCAACUAAUUAAAUAUUUUACACGUCAUUAUUUUUAAAAAAAGUUACACGUCAUUUAAGAAGUAAAAAAAAAUUAAAAUUAAUUGUUUGCAGACCAAGAAAUCU